GGUUAGUCUGAGUGCAGUGGUGUUUACAACUUAUUGAUCACAACCAUUUACAGAUUCCUUUGUUCCUUCUCCACUCCCACUGCUCCACUUGACCAGCAAAA
RNAcentral lists this Y RNA (101 nucleotides) under Prolemur simus (greater bamboo lemur). RNAcentral's name for it is "Y RNA (ENSPSMG00000005612.1)". It matches the Rfam family "Y RNA". From Rfam's summary of the family: Y RNAs are components of the Ro ribonucleoprotein particle (Ro RNP), in association with Ro60 and La proteins. The Y RNAs and Ro60 and La proteins are well conserved, but the function of the Ro RNP is not known. In humans the RNA component can be one of four small RNAs -- hY1, hY3, hY4 and hY5. Lineage: Eukaryota; Metazoa; Chordata; Mammalia; Primates; Lemuridae. The record is from Rfam by way of RNAcentral.